GUUCUUUAAAUGCUUGACAUAAAUGUGUCGCAUCAACAGUAGCUGCUGAAUUCAAUGUUAUUGACAGAAACCAGUGUGACGUUGUGGUUUUAAAUCUUUGACAGAGGAGAAGCUGAAAGCUGAUGAACAGAACAAGACGGGAAGGAAAGAACCUGACGAACCAACAGUUGAUCUGGAGCUGAUGCAGGUCACUGUGGAUGAUGAUGACGACGACAACAGUGGAUCUGAAUCAGAUCACUAGAAGGAGAAGCAGCUGCUGAGGACCAGAGGAUAAACCUCCACCUGCUGAACCUCAUCAUCUUCAGGACUUCACUGCUGAGAGCUGACCUGGUUCAAGAAGAUGUUGCAACAGCUGUUGAAC
Molecule: long non-coding RNA, 361 nt
Organism: Cololabis saira (Pacific saury)
Lineage: Eukaryota; Metazoa; Chordata; Actinopteri; Beloniformes; Belonidae
Exons: 3
Source: RefSeq, a predicted model, not a curated record